CAAACGACUCUCGGCAACGGAUAUCUCGGCUCUUGCAUCGAUGAAGAACGUMGCGAAAUGCGAUACUUGGUGUGAAUUGCAGAAUCCCGUGAACCAUCGAGUUUUUGAACGCAAGUUGCGCCCGAUGCCGCUAGGCUGAGGGCACGUCUGCCUGGGCGUCACGC
Molecule: ribosomal RNA, 164 nt
Filed under: Nigella sativa (black cumin)
Lineage: Eukaryota; Viridiplantae; Streptophyta; Magnoliopsida; Ranunculales; Ranunculaceae
Description: 5.8S ribosomal RNA
Rfam family: 5.8S ribosomal RNA
About the family: 5.8S ribosomal RNA (5.8S rRNA) is a component of the large subunit of the eukaryotic ribosome. It is transcribed by RNA polymerase I as part of the 45S precursor that also contains 18S and 28S rRNA. Functionally, it is thought that 5.8S rRNA may be involved in ribosome translocation.
Source: RNAcentral